CUGCAAGUCGUACGAGAAAUCCUGGGCAACUGGGAAAGUAAAGUGGCGCACGGGUGAGUAGCGCGUGGGUAACCUAUCCUUGAAUUGGGGAUAACUCCGCGAAAGCGGGGCUAAUACCAGAUAACAUUCCGGCUUCCACGGGAGUUGGAAUCAAAGUUGGCCUCUGCAUGCAAGCUAUCGUUUAAGGAUGGGCCCGCGUGCCAUUAGCUUGUUGGUAGGGUAAUGGCCUACCAAGGCAACGAUGGUUAGCUGGUCUGAGAGGAUGGCCAGCCACACUGGAACUGAGACACGGUCCAGACUCCUACGGGAGGCAGCAGUGGGGAAUCUUGCGCAAUGGGGGAAACCUUGACGCAGCAACGCCGCGUGGAUGAUGAAGGCCUUCGGGUCGUAAAGCCCUGUCAGGUGGGAAGAAACUUGUGGAUGUUAAUACCAUCCGCAAUUGACG
RNAcentral lists this ribosomal RNA (445 nucleotides) under uncultured bacterium. RNAcentral's name for it is "bacterial SSU rRNA". It matches the Rfam family "Bacterial small subunit ribosomal RNA", at positions 55 to 474 of the family's 1533-position model. The record is from RNAcentral.